Molecule: long non-coding RNA, 1578 nt
Filed under: Sorghum bicolor (sorghum)
Lineage: Eukaryota; Viridiplantae; Streptophyta; Magnoliopsida; Poales; Poaceae
Description: long non-coding RNA (SBIC_LNC016781)
Source: RNAcentral
UAGUGAUCUGUGAGUCUUUUGUCAAGCAUUAACGCCAGAUGGUUGUGAUGCGGGCUUGCUUGGUUUGGGACUUCAAUUUGUCAUACUAAAGAUUUGCCCAGUAAAAGUUGGCUAAAAAAUUUGCUAUAGAUUUGGAAGCGAAAUAUGAGAGGUUAGCAAGUUUUGGUAACAAAGCAAAUAACAACCAAAGUAAUGGCUUUCCUUAUUUUGGAAGUGUCAAGCAGGCCUGCAGUCGCAACUCACGCCCUAACAGCCUUGAUCACUGACUGAUUCACUGGACAAUCCGGAUGUCGAUCUCGAUGGGGAAACGCGCGCAGCGAGAGAGGAAUCGUCGUCGUCUUGCCCUUGCUCCUGUCCCUGCUCCUCCUCCUCCCUCUGGGUCGUCGUCCAUCGAUUUUGGCGAGUCCCGCGCCUCCACCCCACUCUCUCAAUCUACAAGAAGUUGGUACAUCUUAUUUCAAUCUUGCAGGAUAACUGUGAUAUGUUUUUCAUAUAGCAUAUACAUUGUGUUAUCUUAGCACACUGAGCUCUGAUUACAAUGCAAUAAUUUGAUAAAUGAGGACUUAAAUACGGGCAAUGCUUUUAUCAUCUUCAUCCUUUCUUAACGGACAACUGACAAACAUCCAUGAGUGGGUUCAUCCAACGGGAGCCGCGCGGCAGCACACACUAAUUAUUUUCAUAUUUUUUAACGGAACCUGAUUAUUUUCAUAUUGAGGCAUAAUCACGGGCCAGUCCACCAAAAACAGGCUAGGUAACACACCAAUUAUUUUCGGAUGGACUCGCAUCACAGGCUGGUAACACAGGUAGGCGCGCGGCAACGCCGUGCCUAGUUUCUAGUUCAUACUAUGGCCGAAACAGCAGGCAAUCAGACAUCUGAAAACUGAACUAAGAAAUAGCAGAAUGGCAGCACAUACCCUUCACUGGAGCCCAUCGGAGACGAAUUUCUCCACCACUCAGGUAAACCAGCGGCUUGAAGACUCCAUCUUGAACCAAACUGAUGAGACGGUAGCAGCGACAGUCAGAUACGUACACGAAACACACGUUGACCGCUGUAACUUGUAAGAGCCUUUUAGGAUGUCGACGACUCUAUGGAUUUUCAUCCCAGAGAGCUUCGCAUCACACAACACCAACCAAUACCCGCAGGCUACAAAUCUUGGAUGCAGUAGGCGCCGCGUUAGUGCAUAUACUACUCGGAGUUAAGUGGGAGAUUAGGUAACAGAAAAAAGAUGUAUCCACGACCACGAGAACGGCUUUUGGUCUGCAGUCUUUCGUCAUCUGGCGGCUCUCACCCUCACACUUUUGACUGAGGCUUGACAUUUGCUCCAAACUUCUUUCAAAAAAACAUUUGCUCCAAACAAAAACAAGAAGAAAGGGGAAAAAAAGUCAGCUAACGGCGACAUGACCUUUUGAGAGUGCGAUCCAUCAGCAAAAUGAAAUGCCUCGAUCCAAAUUCCAGGCGAAGGGGAUACACGUGACUCCAGCGUGCCUACUAAGCUCCUAGCGCUUUACACGACGGAUGAGCCUGAUCCUGGCCGCCACGGAUUCUGCAGGCUCAGAAGCCCAACAACCGAAGUAUAG